CCCAGACUCCUACGGGAGGCAGCAGUGGGGGAUAUUGCACAAUGGGGGGAACCCUGAUGCAGCGACGCCGCGUGGGUGAAGGAGCGUUUCGGCGCGUAAAGCCCUCUCGGCAGGGAAGAAGGAGGACGGUACCUGACUAAGAAGCCCCGGCUAACUACGUGCCAGCAGCCGCGGUAAUACGUAGGGGGCAAGCGUUAUCCGGAUUUACUGGGUGUAAAGGGGGCGCAGACGGCAGCGCAAGCCAGGAGUGAAAGCCCGGGGCCCAACCCCGGGACUGCUCUUGGAACUGCGCGGCUGGAGUGCAGGAGGGGCAGGCGGAAUUCCUGGUGUAGCGGUAAAAUGCGUAGAUAUUAGGAGGAACACCAGUGGCGAAGGCGGCCUGCUGGGCUUUUACUGACGCUGAGGCUCGAAAGUGUGGGGAGCAAACAGGAUUAGAUACCCGAGUA
RNAcentral lists this ribosomal RNA (446 nucleotides) under uncultured bacterium. Its description in RNAcentral is "partial 16S ribosomal RNA". It matches the Rfam family "Bacterial small subunit ribosomal RNA", at positions 330 to 792 of the family's 1533-position model. The record is from RNAcentral.